UAUGUGAUCGUCUCUCGCAUAUCAAUAAGCGGAGGAAAAGAAACUAACAAGGAUUCCCCUAGUAACGGCGAGUGAAGCGGGAAGAGCUCAAAUUUGAAAUCUUAAAGGGUUUCCCUUUACGAAUUGUAGUUUAAAGAAGUGUUUUCUGUUGAGGUUUUGGUAAAAGUUCUUUGGAAUAGGACAUCAUAGAGGGUGAGAAUCCCGUAUUUGACCUUUACUUUCAACUUUGUGAUACACUUUCAAAGAGUCGGAUUGUUUGGGAAUGCAGUCCAAAAUGGGUGGUAAAUUUCAUCUAAAGCUAAAUAUUGGCGAGAGACCGAUAGCGAACAAGUACCGUGAGGGAAAGAUGAAAAGAACUUUGAAAAGAGAGUUAAACAGUACGUGAAAUUGUCAAAAGGGAAGCGUUUGACACCAGUGUUGUUUUUCUGAAAAUCAAUUAAAGAACUGUUUAUGCUAAGUUGUUUAGACUUUAUCAGCUAACUGUUUAGUUUUGAGCUUUUCUUUAAUGCACUUUUCAGUUAACAAGUCAACAUCAAUUUCUUUUGCUGUAAAAAAGCUUGAGGAAGGUGGCUUGAGAUUCGUCUUAAGUGUUUAUAGCCUCUUGCCUAUGCAGUCGGAGAGAUUGAGGUCUGCAGCGUAGAUCCUUCGGGGCUAAAUGCAUUUGUGCUAAGUUAUAGCACUUUAUAGACAACUUGUUGACUAUGAUUUGUCUUGUAGCUUACUCGCUUAUGUUAUUUUACCUACGCUUAGGAUGUUGAAGUCAUCGUAUCGCGC
RNAcentral lists this ribosomal RNA (774 nucleotides) under uncultured Neocallimastigales. Its description in RNAcentral is "partial large subunit ribosomal RNA". It matches the Rfam family "Eukaryotic large subunit ribosomal RNA", at positions 24 to 645 of the family's 3401-position model. The record is from RNAcentral. Lineage: Eukaryota; Fungi; Neocallimastigomycota; Neocallimastigomycetes; Neocallimastigales.